Molecule: ribosomal RNA, 525 nt
Filed under: uncultured bacterium
Lineage: Bacteria
Description: bacterial SSU rRNA
Rfam family: Bacterial small subunit ribosomal RNA
Source: RNAcentral
GGCUCAGGACGAACGCUGGCGGCGUGCCUAAUACAUGCAAGUCGAACGGUCUUUCUAUGGAAGCUUGCUUCCACUGAGAAGAUAGUGGCGAACGGGUGAGUAACACGUGGGUAACCUGCCCAUAAGAGGGGGGAUAACAUCCGGAAACGGGUGCUAAUACCGCAUAGUUUUCUUGGUCGCAUGAUCGGGAAAGGAAAGACGGCCUUUGUGCUGUCGCUUAUGGAUGGACCCGCGGCGUAUUAGUUAGUUGGUGAGGUAACGGCUCACCAAGACGAUGAUACGUAGCCGACCUGAGAGGGUGAUCGGCCACAUUGGGACUGAGACACGGCCCAAACUCCUACGGGAGGCAGCAGUAAGGAAUCUUCCGCAAUGGACGAAAGUCUGACGGAGCAACGCCGCGUGAGUGAAAGAAGGUUUUCGGAUCGUAAAACUCUGUUGUCAGAGAAGAACAAGUUGGAGAGUAACUGCUCCAGCCUUGACGGUAUCUGACCAGAAAGCCACGGCUAACUACGUGCCAGCCGCCGC